CCUAGCGAUAUCGAAAAACUAUUAUAAAAAGUGUCCUAGUUCAGUGAAAAUGUACGUCAUACUUAUUUCCUAAACAAAUAAAUAAACAAACAUUAAUUAACAUACAACACACUACCAAAGGCCAGAGACUCCUUACUUGUAUGAUUUUGUAAAAAAAUGCAUCUUUUUAAAAUAGUCGAAAACAAAAUUGUCUGUCCAAUGGAAAAGUCGAAGCCCAAAAAAGAUGAACAGUGCAUUAUAGAAACUUUACAUAGAAGCUGGUUGCAAAAGUUGACGACAAGAUCUAUUUUAUAACUUGAGUAUGGCCUAAUACUAUUAACCUGAAAUAAAUAUAUUUAUAGCAAUUCCCUUGAUACGAAAGAUCUACAUGUUGCCUUGGGCUUUUUUUUUUCUUUUUUUUUUUGCUCUUUGGUUGGGUUUUUGUCUCAAUGACAAUUCAAUUUUCAUUCUUAUCAUAGAUAUAACUGCAUGUUAAAAUAAGAAUAUGUAGUGUGAUAGACAAUCAGACACAUUCUUUCCAGGGACCAACAGGCGUUAUCAAGCUAUAGGUCCCCGUAUGGCCUUCGACCAUUAGCAAAAUACACACUUUAUAGAAUGAAAGCUCCAAGAGGUCUUGGCAUGAAAAAAACAAACAUAAAAGAUGAGCGAGAAAAAAAAAUAGGGAUACCGCAUGGAAAUUGGAAAAUGGUCCGCAACAUUAAUUUAGUCAACUCACUUAGUUGAAAUUAAAGACCUGGCGAAUUUUAGCCUUUUGCAAUGGAUGUGAUGUAUGUUUAAAAAAAAAUCAUGGUUUGUUUGGACAUUUUUAUAAAUCAAGUCUUGGUUUUAAAUUAUUUGCAAGUAAGUUUUAAGUCAUGAACAAAUAAUCACUCACAGAAAGACGUCAAAUCCAUCAACAAAAGAAAAAAAUUAAUAGACGACCGACAACGCACAGAAUAUCAUGUAUGUGUUCCGGACCAUAUGAGUAUUUGGACCAUACGCAUAUAUCAUGACCAUAAGGGUAUACUAAUAUGGUCCAACCAUACACGUAUGGUCCGACCGUACGCGAAUGACGGGUAUGGUCAUGCGCGUAUGGUCCAAAUACUCAUAAGGUCCGGAACAUAUUUUAUUUGCGAUCACAAAUGCACGAAGACGUCCAUUUCUAUGUAAAUUGGGUCGAUUUUUUUAUAUAGAUAAGAUGAAUGCGUUUCUGUU
RNAcentral lists this long non-coding RNA (1194 nucleotides) under Mytilus galloprovincialis (Mediterranean mussel). Lineage: Eukaryota; Metazoa; Mollusca; Bivalvia; Mytilida; Mytilidae. The record is from RNAcentral.